UACGGAGGGUGCAAGCGUUUAUCCGGAUUCACUGGGUUUAAAGGGUGCGUAGGUGGCUUUGUAAGUCAGUGGUGAAAUGCCGCAGCUCAACUGCGGAACUGCCACUGAUACUGCUUAGCUUGAAUCACGUCGAGGUGGAUGGAAUAUUACAUGUAGCGGUGAAAUGCUUAGAUAUGUAAUAGAACACCGAUUGCGAAGGCAGUUCACUAGGCGUGUAUUGACACUGAGGCACGAAAGCGUGGGGGAUCAAACAGG
Molecule: ribosomal RNA, 255 nt
Filed under: uncultured bacterium
Lineage: Bacteria
Description: partial 16S ribosomal RNA
Rfam family: Bacterial small subunit ribosomal RNA
Source: RNAcentral